GGAUCAGUGAUGAAUUAGAUGUUGAAGGAGCGUCGCAAGAUCAGUGAUGAAUUAGAUGUUGAAGGAGCGUCGCAGGACCAGACGGGUCGUCGCUGGAUCAAGCAGAAGCUGGUUGAGUCUCGAAGAAGUUCGGGAAAAGUUGGAAGUCUUGCUGAGAACGAACUAUGGCGCCGAAAGAUGGGGAAGGAGAAACGUAAAGGCUUGCUCGCAGCGAAUGUGUGUUCGUGGUAGUCCUUGGAGAUAAAGAUAUAAGAUAAAGUAGUUUUCUCUAGUUUAUAUCUAAGUUUAUAUGCGUAAUUUUUUUUUCUUUUGUAUUGUGCAUGCUUUAUAAAAAGUAUAAAGACAGGUUACAGCGGCUUCUGCGCAUGUGCGAGCUUUGUUUACAUUUUUUGUUUUGAUCCGCAAUGAUUCUACAACAUGAAGUAUAACAUAUAUUCGCAAUGAUUUAUUAACAAAAAAAGAGAGGAGCGACGCUUCUUUC
Long non-coding RNA from Dendronephthya gigantea, 481 nucleotides. RefSeq lists it as uncharacterized. NCBI's taxonomy places the organism in Eukaryota, Metazoa, Cnidaria, Anthozoa, Malacalcyonacea, Nephtheidae. The record is from RefSeq and is a predicted model, not a curated record. The transcript has 3 exons.